AGAGUUUGCUUCUGGCUCAGGACGAACGCUGGCGGCGCGCCUAACACAUGCAAGUCGAACGAGCGAGAGGAGGUUUACUUUCUCAAGCGAGUGGCGAACGGGUGAGUAACGCGUGAGGAACCUGCCUCAAAGAGGGGGACAACAGUUGGAAACGACUGCUAAUACCGCAUAAGCCCACGGUACCGCAUGGUACUGAGGGAAAAGGAUUUAUUCGCUUUAGGAUGGACUCGCGUCCAAUUAGCUAGUUGGUGAGGUAACGGCCCACCAAGGCGACGAUUGGUAGCCGGACUGAGAGGUUGAACGGCCACAUUGGGACUGAGACACGGCCCAGACUCCUACGGGAGGCAGCAGUGGGGGAUAUUGCACAAUGGGGGAAACCCUGAUGCAGCGACGCCGCGUGGAGGAAGAAGGUUUUCGGAUUGUAAACUCCUGUCGUUAGGGACGAUAAUGACGGUACCUAACAAGAAAGCACCGGCUAACUACGUGCCAGCAGCCGCGGUAAAACGUAGGGUGCAAGCGUUGUCCGGAAUUACUGGGUGUAAAGGGAGCGCAGGCGGGAAGACAAGUUGGAAGUGAAAACCAUGGGCUCAACCCAUGAAUUGCUUUCAAAACUGUUUUUCUUGAGUAGUGCAGAGGUAGAUGGAAUUCCCGGUGUAGCGGUGGAAUGCGUAGAUAUCGGGAGGAACACCAGUGGCGAAGGCGGUCUACUGGGCACCAACUGACGCUGAGGCUCGAAAGCAUGGGUAGCAAACAGGAUUAGAUACCCUGGUAGUCCAUGCCGUAAACGAUGAUUACUAGGGUGUUGGGGGAUUGACCCCCUCAGUGCCGCAGUUAACACAAUAAGUAAUCCACCUGGGGAGUACGACCGCAAGGUUGAAACUCAAAGGAAUUGACGGGGGCCCGCACAAGCAGUGGAGUAUGUGGUUUAAUUUGAAGCAACGCGAAGAACCUUACCAGGGCUUGACAUCCAACUAACGAAGCAGAGAUGCAUUAGGUGCCCUUCGGGGAAAGUUGAGACAGGUGGUGCAUGGUUGUCGUCAGCUCGUGUCGUGAGAUGUUGGGUUAAGUCCCGCAACGAGCGCAACCCUUAUUGCCAGUUACUACGUUAAGAGGACUCUGGCGAGACUGCCGUUGACAAAACGGAGGAAGGUGGGGAUGACGUCAAAUCAUCAUGCCCUUUAUGACCUGGGCUACACACGUACUACAAUGGCGUUAAACAAAGAGAAGCAAGACCGCGAGGUGGAGCAAAACUCAAAAACAACGUCUCAGUUCAGAUUGCAGGCUGCAACUCGCCUGCAUGAAGUCGGAAUUGCUAGUAAUCGCGGAUCAGCAUGCCGCGGUGAAUAAAUUCCCGGGCCUUGCAC
This 1364-nucleotide ribosomal RNA is filed under the name uncultured bacterium. Its description in RNAcentral is "bacterial SSU rRNA". It matches the Rfam family "Bacterial small subunit ribosomal RNA", at positions 8 to 1386 of the family's 1533-position model. The record is from RNAcentral.